Molecule: ribosomal RNA, 435 nt
Filed under: Microbacterium sp.
Lineage: Bacteria; Bacillati; Actinomycetota; Actinomycetes; Micrococcales; Microbacteriaceae
Description: bacterial SSU rRNA
Rfam family: Bacterial small subunit ribosomal RNA
Source: RNAcentral
GAACGGUGAAGCAGAGCUUGCUCUGUGGAUCAGUGGCGAACGGGUGAGUAACACGUGAGCAACCUGCCCCUGACUCUGGGAUAAGCGCUGGAAACGGCGUCUAAUACUGGAUAUGAGCUGCGAUCGCAUGGUCAGCAGUUGGAAAGAUUUUUCGGUCUGGGAUGGGCUCACGGCCUAUCAGCUUGUUGGUGAGGUAAUGGCUCACCAAGGCGUCGACGGGUAGCCGGCCUGAGAGGGUGACCGGCCACACUGGGACUGAGACACGGCCCAGACUCCUACGGGAGGCAGCAGUGGGGAAUAUUGCACAAUGGGCGAAAGCCUGAUGCAGCAACGCCGCGUGAGGGAUGACGGCCUUCGGGUUGUAAACCUCUUUUAGCAGGGAAGAAGCGAAAGUGACGGUACCUGCAGAAAAAGCGCCGGCUAACUACGUGCCAG